CUCCUGACCUCAAGUGAUCCACCUGCCUCGGCCUCCCAAAGUGCUGGGAUUACAGGUGUGAGCCAUGGCACACAGCCAUUUUUGAGUAAUUCUCAUUAGUGCUUUUAAUGUAUGCUUAUACAUACACAAAUAUAUAUUUAUUUAAUAUAAAAUUGGGCUCAUUGAAGAUGCUAGCUGGAGUACAAUACUGAAAAUAAUCUGCUCUUUCCUCUGUUUCAUCUCCUGGCAUGAAGCCAUCUACUCUUCCCAAGAGACUAUCAGUGGGCCUUGGGGACCUUAUAUAUGAGGGUCUCAGGGCCCUGUUAUUAGCUGAGGGUUGGUAGGGAAGAACGGUGUGAGUGAUUCUGCAUGUCCAGGGGCUUCUGCAGAUGUAGUCAUGAAGCAGAUAGACCUAAACCAAAAUGGGCAAGCACUCCCUAGAAUUUUCACUCAGCGCUUGUGGUAAUCCAUGUGUGCAUCCCAGGGAACUGAGAUGGGAAUGGAGUUGGCAACCUCAGGUCCCUGAAUGUGUCCACUGUAUUUCUCUUCCUGCUAAUCCCUUUGUCCUCAGUGUGCAGAGAUAAUCAGGAGUUGAGCGCUAGUCAUUAUAUUUAGGAACUUCGUUCUCAAAGGUAGUGAUUACUGUCCUAUUUUCCGUCCCUCUGCUUGAAACAAUUUCUGAGAAUUGCCAUACCAAUUUGGAUGUGAAAACAUGUUGCCAUCUUCAUUCCUUUUUGCCCUGCAGGGCAUUCUGCGGUCUGGGGAAAUAAGCAGGGAUUCUUAGUUGAAUACGGUUCUCUAGUCUGAAUAGUCUCUUUCUCUGCCUCCUUUCAUUUUGGACUCUCCUUUUUGCCAUACUCUAGAGAGAAUGUGGAGGAUGGGGCCAGGCAGAGAGCCUAGAGGUUAACCUGACAUUUAGCCAGAUCCACGUUGCUGCCACAUCGCAUCUUUCAAAGGCUGAUCCCCUACUCAGAUGCCUGCCACAUGACCUGCUCCUCAGACAUAUCUGUCCCUACCAAGGAGUUGAGGUUGUGGGCAAAGCUGGACAGUUUCUGUCCCUUCUGUAGCACUUGGUAGGGGAGGUCUAAUGGGGCUUAGGAUACUCUGCCCUUUGCUUUAUUGAGAGAAAUGGGGUUGAUAUAUAGCUUAGUAAGUCUAUAAUUAUGCUUUUUGUUUUGUUUGCUUGUUUUUAGUAAGUUAUGUUUUUCCUAAUUCUAAAGGAAAUACAGUUAUGUAUCACUUAAUGAUAGAGAUACAUUCUGAGAAACACAUCUUAAGGCAUCACAGAGACUGUCAUAAGAUGCACUUUCACAAACCUAGACGGGCUGGGACAGCCUACUCCACACCUAGUCUAUGUGGUAUGGCCCAUUGCUCCUGGGCUGCGAGCCUAUACGGCAUUUUUACUGAAUACUGUAGAGCUCAAGUAAUCCUCCUACCUCAGCCUCCAUGUAGCUGGGAUUAUAGGUGCGUAACACUGUACCAGACUCUGGUGCUAGUUCUUAGAUGCCAGUGUACAUGAGAAGCUUGUUUAAAAUUUAGAUCUCUUAGUGAUCUAAGAAAUCGGAGUCCUAGCUAGAGAGAUUCCGAUUCGAUAGCUCUAAAGUAGAGCCCAAUAAUCUUCAUUAACAAGCAUCCAAAAGUUUAUCUGAUAGGGAAUUUCAAGAAGUAAACAGAAGCACAUGAUAAGAGAAUAUACCCCAACUAAAGUGAGAAAUGAAAUUUUAAAAAAGUAUUUUAAUUAUAACAAACACCUAGUCACUAAUCCAAAGAGCUUAAUUAUUUUCCUAUUAUUAAGGAAAAUAAUUCUUAUUAACCUGCACUUAACACAGUCCCUAUUGCACUCGACUGAAUAGUUGUCAUGAAGUUUGUAUUUUUUCUUUUACUUUUUCCUUCUUUCUUUACCCUCAGAUGCUUUGUAGAAUCCUGGUGUUACCUCUGUCACUUUUCUUUCUGCUAUUGGUGUGAACACUCGGCAUCCCUGCGUCUGCUGAUCUCUGGGCUUCUUGCUUUUCUCAGGGAUGUGCAGCCUCUGUAGUCCUCUCUUCUCACAGCAAGUCUGACAUGGUAGGACAGUCGCUCACACCAAUGUCAGACACUCAAAGUCUAGUCUGGGCUGCUGACCCUCUCCUAGUCAGAUAACCCACUGUGGAUGCCAGUUUCUUCAUCUAUGCCAUGAAGAGUUGGUUUAAAUUAUAUAUGUAAGUGUUUUUGAAGUUCAUUUAAAGUAGAAGCACAGAGUCAUUUUUGUCUGUUCCCAGCUGUUCCUAAUUUAUUCACCCAGGCUGCAUAAUAUAACCGUAUUCCUUAAAUGUUAUAGGACCUUAUUUCUUGUGAACAUCUUGAAAGUGUUUAACUGAGGAAAACGUAGAUAAAGUCAGAUUACAUAGGAUUGUGUGUGUGUGUGUGUGUGUGUGUGUGUGUGUGUGUGUGUGUUUGUGUAUCCAUGUGCUCUCCAAGAGAAUGGAGUUAAUGCCGUUAGACCUCCCAAACAGCUGCCAGGAAGGGACAGGAAUGAUGGGGUUAGGGAGCUAUCUGGCCCUUGGCUCUUCCUGCCUCUGAGACGUAGGUGACUCUUUCAUGUGGAGGCUAGCAAAGGAAGAACCCUGUCCGAUGGGCUGUGUGUCACAGAAACUUGGAAUGUUCUGUGACAGCCUAUAAUUUCUCCCCUUUCCUGUUCCUUCUCUACCCUCCCUUAGGCUUCUUCCCCUUUUAUUUUUGACUCUGGUUCUUGGUACACAUUGAAACAAUGUAUGGCUUAGGAAUUUUUCAGUGAUUUUGUAUUUGUAUUUUAUUUAUAAAUAUAGUUACUCCAAAAAAGUUUUCUAAAAUGUGAGCCUCUUCUGUUGCCUGGAGCUACUAACAAGAGGACUUCAUUCUUUCGCACACACUGAGCAUGGCUGCGUUCAGUCAAGUAGCUUCCUGGUGGUGGGCCUUACUUCCUUGGAAAGGAGGCUAAAGAUAUAUGUCUGCUUUUAGAAGCAAAGUGUGAUCAAGAAAUAACUGAGCUUGCCUCACUCAUGGAGAGAGCUGCUAUGUUGUUCUCAGGAGCUUUUUUUUUUUUUUUUUUUUUUUUUUUUUUUCUUAGUGGGGGAAACAACAGCCUGGGAAGGAUGUCAGCCUUCAAAGGAAUGUGUUUUAGAAGGUGAAACUGUUUUAAGCUCCAUCAAGAACCUUUUGUGAGCCCUUCUGGUAAUGAGUAAUCAUUUCAGCAAAAUGAGACUAUUUAGAAUAUUCUAGUCUAAGGAUCUUUUCUCGUCUAAAUGGGAAUAGGUCAAAGGAAGCAUGGGAAACAAAAAUGAAAUUAUUUUACUGUCCCUUUGGGCCUUGCUCUUAUAGACCUCAUCUAUGGUGCAGUAAGAAAAAGGGCCUGCAGUGAAGGUGGAAGAUAUGUUUGGGAUCCUUCAUGACUGUUAUGAAAUCAGCAACCAGCGUGACUGGGCCUAAGUCACUUUCCCUGGCUACACCUGUGUUUUCAUUCCUCCAGGGCUAAACCCACUGAUUCUAACUUCUAGUAGUUGAAAUAUUCACAGAAGUGUAAGAGCUUGUGGAUUAAAUUAGCCUGAAGAAGAAAAAUUAUCACCCAGUUUGCCCUCCUCUGAGAUUAGCACAUUGCUUCUUUGGGGGUUGGAGGUUGGAAGUGAUGGUCACAAACCAGGUGAUCAUGUCUGGGCAGCAGGGAAGUAUUUCUUCAACUAGGGGCUUAAUGCAAUUAGCAUCAACAGUUGGAUUUCAGUAAUCUAAGAUAGUGUGAUUAAUCCGUAGCAUCCAAAGUUUGUCUGGUAUAGAGUCUAAAGCUGUGAUAACAGAGCACAGGCUAAAUUGGAGUAAGAAAUUAGCAGAAUAAUGUUUUAGUACUGGCUCCUUUUCUUGUCUCGUUAGAUCUGAAUGCAGUUCUUCAUUAAAAAAAAAAAAUUAAGUGUGUCCAUAGUCCCUACAUUUCUGGUUCUCUUCCUGCUGGUAGUAAAUUACUGUUUUCUUCUGAUUUAACUUCAGCUUGAAAAUCAUUUGUAAAGGCAAUAAACAUUUGAGACAUUGGUCAUUUUAACCAUCAGCUGCUUUUCGUCAAGUCCCCCAAAUAUGCUAAUGUUUUUAGCAGAAAUCAGAGCACUGAAAAUAGACUUGGUUCUUGGUAUUUUUAUUUUAAAUAGUAGAGUUAAAUCUGUUUAUAUUACAUUUUUGUGUUAUUAAUGUAGUUGGCCUUAUGUCUACCAUCUUUGGCAGGGGCAGGAUGGAAUGUAUAUAGGGUUUUCUAGCAAAGACUGAAUUGUUCAGUAUAUUUACCUUUUUUAAACAAGCAAAGAUCUUACCUUUUUUUUUUCACCACCUAUCAGGCACAUUCCACUCUCUAACCCCACAUUUCCCCAUUAUUAUUAUCUAUUGUUUUCGUUGGUUUCACUUAAAAACACAAAAAUUCAUUAUUUUAAAUAUUUUCAUGUUCAUUACCUAAUACAUAUCAUUGUCAGGCUUUUUUUUUUUUUUUUCUUGCAUCUCACUUCCUGUAGUAUUCCUGUCACUGACAGUCUGUGAAUGGGAAACUCUCUCAUUCUGUACAUCUGGAAAUGGCUUCAUUUUUUUCCCAGUCUUUAGUGAUGGCUAAGCUAAGUAUAGAAUUCUAUACCCUUUUUCACGUUGAAGAUCCAUCACUUAUUGCCUGCUGACAUCUAUUUUUGUUGAUAAAACAGCUGUUGUAAGACUAUUUGCUAUUCCUUUGAAGAUAAACUGUCUCCUUUUUUUUUUCUUGGUAGCCAGUAAGAUUUUUAUCUUCAUACUUGAUAUACUAUAGAUUUAGAGUGAUGUCUUAAGUGUGGAGUCUUAAAAACUUAAUCUAUGUAGUGCUCUUGAGAAUACAUAUAAGAACUCCUGUCUUCAAGUAGUUCUAUAAAAUGAUCAGCUAUUACAUAUUAAAUUUCCAUUAUCUCCACCCCCAUUUCCUUCUCUGUCCCUGUAUUAGAUAUAUAUUGGUGAUGUAGUUUGAAUAUUUGUUCCCAUCCAAAUCUUAGGUUGAAUUUUAAUCCAUGAUGUUGGAGGUGGGGCCUGGUAGGAAGUUGUUUGGAUCAUAGGGCUGCAUCUCUUGUGAAUGGCAUGGGCCAUCCCCUUGGUGAUAAGUGAGCUCUCCCCUGAGUUCACACAGAUCUGCUAGUUUAAAAGUGUGUUGUGGCACCUCCCGCCCCUCUCAGUUGCUUGCUGCUGCUUUCUCCAUGUGAUGGGACUGUUUUCCCUUUGCCUUCUGCUUUGAUUGUAAGCUUCCUGAAGACUCCCUAGAAGCCAAGCAGAUGCCUGCACCAUGCUUCCUAUAAAUCCUGCAGGACCAUGAGCCAGUUAAGCCUCUCUUCUUUAUAGAUUACCCAGUCUCAGAUAUUUCUCUAUAGCAAUGUAAGAACAGCCUAAUACUUUUGGAGUCAUUCUUGCAUUCUCUUUGUCUCUUAACUGUUUUUUCAUACGUAUAUAUAUGAUUUGUAAAUACACACUCAUACUUAUUUUUAUCUCAUAGCUGUAUCAGGAUAAAUUCCUCAGUACUAGAUCUUUCAGUUCACUCAUUCUGGUGUCUAUCUCCACUACUGGGUUUUAUUUCAGUGGCUAUAUUUUUUCAUUUCCAAGGUAUCACAUUUUUAAAAUCUUUAUGAAGAUAUUAAACAUAGCCUAUAAAUCUUAGUUGGUUCUGUUAUUUUAAUUUUUCUGAAAGUGCUUAUUCUUCUACUUGUUAAUUUUGUGGCCAACUUAGAUGUCUUCACGUGUUUUGGAAUUUUGAUUUGCAAGCUUACCUUCUUUAACAUUUGUUUUCUCCUCCUUACUCCUCCCCAGAACUUGCCCCACCCCCAUGGUAGUUUUGCAGCUGCUUCUGCAUCUAUGUCUGUGUUUUUCUAUUUCUCUAGAUGAGAAGCCCCAUUUAAGUCAUAACUUGCAGCAUGUGUCAGCAACAAUUUUCUUUGGUUUCCUUUUUCAUUCAGUCUAAGUCCAGACCCUCUGUUAAAAAAUUAAAAUAACAGAACAAACUAAAAGAUUUACAAGCUGUAUUUAAUGUCCUCAUUGUAUUAGUCCAUACCUGAGACUGCGUAAUUUAUAAAGAAAAGAGGUUUCAUUGACUCGCAGUUUCCACAUGGCUGGGGAGGGAGGCCUCAGGAAAUUUAUAAUCAUGGUGGAAGGGGAAGCAAGGCAUGUCUUACAUGGCAGCAGUUGAGAGAGGGCGUGUGAAGGAGUAACUGUUAAACACUUAGAAAACCAUCAGGUCUUGUGAGAGUGCACCCGCUAUCAUGAGAAUUUGUGAGGAAAAUGGCUCCCAGGAUCCAAUUACCUCCUACCAGGACACUCCCUCAAGUCAUGGGGAUUAUGGGGAUUGUAGUUCGAGCUGAGAUUUGGGUGGGACACAGAGCCACACCAUAUCACUCAUAAUGAUUGUUUUAAUUUGAUACCUUGAAAAUAAAAAAACCUUAACUUGAGGCCCAUUAAGCAGUUCCAUGGCUUUAGCUCUGCCUCCACACUGUGUGCUUUGGUUCAUGGAAGUGCUUAGCUUGUUUGCUGAGUAUAGCUAUAAUUUGGAAUUCUCUCAUUUUAUAUUUUACCUGUCAUUGCCUUAUCUUUGAAGAAGGCAAAGGCUUUUAGUAUAAUCUCUGGCUCUGUGAUUUAACUUUGGUUUUCAAUACAUAGCUGUAGAAGGAAAAUAACAACUGCCCUUCCCAUCUGUGAAAGCACUUUGUAAAUAAAAAAGGCAAGGUGUGGCCAUUUGUAUAGUUAAUGUAAUUGUUGUCACAUUUUACUGCUACACUCUACCUUUGGAGUCAAGGAUGUUCAGGAUGGGCAUGUGGCAUGCUGGGGGAAUGAAAUACCUUAGGUAAUAAUAAAAUUGAACAUCCCUAAAGUUGUCUGCUAAAUAUUGUCAGUGAUUUAGUCCACAAAUUGCAGAGUGUUUUCUACAGGUAAAUGGAUCGUGACUGUAUAUUUACUUUUAGAGUUGCAUGCAAUGAAAAUGAAAUUGUUUUUCAUGACGGUAAAGCUGGCUCACUGUUCACUGGAUUAUUCAGUUUUUCUUACUUCUGCUGUUGCUUUUUAAACUGAGUGAUGGUAUCCAAAAUGUAACUUGCCAUUUGCUGCUUAGGUACUUUAUAAAAUCUGUCUAAACUUAAGAUGGAUUUGCUCUGGUUAUAAAAGAGUUUAUUAAACUUUGUCUUUCAGGUGAUUAUCGCCAUCAUUGCUUAAUGUUGAAGGCCUAGCGAGUCAUACUGUGAAGGUGAUACUUUUUAUUAGUGUUAUAAACCAUUUAGUUUGUAUCUUCCCCCAUCCCCCAAAAAAAACCCAAAUCUGCUUGGUCAGGUGGUAGGAAUCAACAAGAGAAGCCAUAGCCUGAAUUUGAUCCUGGAUACACAAAAUGAAAUGUUUUCUCCUCUCAUACUGUCACAUUCCUUAUAACAGACAACUAGAGCCCUGCUUUUCUCCUUUAGCCAUUUUUUAUUAAUUGAAAAUUUGUGUUCCUCUCUCUCCAUCCUCUGGCACAUCCACUGGUAUCUAAAAAUGCUUCA
Molecule: long non-coding RNA, 7493 nt
Organism: Sapajus apella (tufted capuchin)
Lineage: Eukaryota; Metazoa; Chordata; Mammalia; Primates; Cebidae
Exons: 2
Source: RefSeq, a predicted model, not a curated record